RNAcentral lists this ribosomal RNA (472 nucleotides) under uncultured bacterium. Its description in RNAcentral is "bacterial SSU rRNA". It matches the Rfam family "Bacterial small subunit ribosomal RNA", at positions 28 to 478 of the family's 1533-position model. The record is from RNAcentral.
GACGAACGCUGGCGGCGUGCCUAACACAUGCAAGUCGAACGGAGUUAAAUUCGACACCCGAGUAUCCGGCCGGGAGGCGGGGUGCUGGGGGUUGGAUUUAACUUAGUGGCGGACGGGUGAGUAACGCGUGAGUAACCUGCCUUUCAGAGGGGGAUAACGUUCUGAAAAGAACGCUAAUACCGCAUAACAUCAAUUUAUCGCAUGAUAGGUUGAUCAAAGGAGCAAUCCGCUGGAAGAUGGACUCGCGUCCGAUUAGCCAGUUGGCGGGGUAACGGCCCACCAAAGCGACGAUCGGUAGCCGGACUGAGAGGUUGAACGGCCACAUUGGGACUGAGACACGGCCCAGACUCCUACGGGAGGCAGCAGUGGGGGAUAUUGCACAAUGGGGGAAACCCUGAUGCAGCAACGCCGCGUGAGGGAAGAAGGUUUUCGGAUUGUAAACCUCUGUUCUUAGUGACGAUAAUGACGGUAG